GACGAACGCUGGCGGCGCGCUUAACACAUGCAAGUCGAACGGAAAGGCCCUGCUUUUGUGGGGUGCUCGAGUGGCGAACGGGUGAGUAACACGUGAGUAACCUGCCCUUGACUUUGGGAUAACUUCAGGAAACUGGGGCUAAUACCGGAUAGGAGCUCCUGCUGCAUGGUGGGGGUUGGAAAGUUUCGGCGGUUGGGGAUGGACUCGCGGCUUAUCAGCUUGUUGGUGGGGUAGUGGCUUACCAAGGCUUCGACGGGUAGCCGGCCUGAGAGGGUGACCGGCCACAUUGGGACUGAGAUACGGCCCAGACUCCUACGGGAGGCAGCAGUGGGGAAUAUUGCACAAUGGGCGGAAGCCUGAUGCAGCAACGCCGCGUGCGGGAUGACGGCCUUCGGGUUGUAAACCGCUUUCGCCUGUGACGAAGCGUGAGUGACGGUAAUGGGUAAAGAAGCACCGGCUAACUACGUG
Molecule: ribosomal RNA, 468 nt
Filed under: uncultured bacterium
Lineage: Bacteria
Description: partial 16S ribosomal RNA
Rfam family: Bacterial small subunit ribosomal RNA
Source: RNAcentral